RNAcentral lists this unclassified non-coding RNA (271 nucleotides) under Hevea brasiliensis (rubber tree). Lineage: Eukaryota; Viridiplantae; Streptophyta; Magnoliopsida; Malpighiales; Euphorbiaceae. The record is from RNAcentral.
AUAAAAUAAAAAUCUAACUACAAUAUCGCCAUAUGGGUCCCACAAUUAUUUUUUAUUUUAUUUGCAAGUGUCCCACAAUAUAUUUAAAAAAUUAACUUUUAAAUUGAAAAAUAGCACCACGUCAAUAGCACUAAUGAUAAUUGGGUGUUCGGACCUUAGCAUUCGCUUCUUAAUCAAACCUAUAUUACCCAUUCAUCAUCUAAAACACAUCUUCCAUCACUAAUCACCACCCCCAUCAUUAUCAUUUCCACAAUCUCAAGCAAUAAAUCCA